GCCCGCCUAGCUCAAUCGGCCAGAGCGUCAGACUUUUAUCCGCUCGGCGGUAACGGGCAUCUGAAGGCUGCGAGUUCGACCCUCGCGGUGGGCU
This is a non-coding RNA of Trametes maxima, 94 nucleotides long. NCBI's taxonomy places the organism in Eukaryota, Fungi, Basidiomycota, Agaricomycetes, Polyporales, Polyporaceae. The record is from the annotation of a GenBank genome assembly.